GAGUUUGAUCCUGGCUCAGAGCGAACGCUGGCGGCAGGCCUAACACAUGCAAGUCGAACGAACUCUUCGGAGUUAGUGGCGGACGGGUGAGUAACACGUGGGAACGUGCCUUUAGGUUCGGAAUAACUCAGGGAAACUUGUGCUAAUACCGAAUGUGCCCUUCGGGGGAAAGAUUUAUCGCCUUUAGAGCGGCCCGCGUCUGAUUAGCUAGUUGGUGAGGUAAAAGGGCUCACCAAGGGCGACGAUCAGUAGCUGGUCUGAGAGGAUGAUCAGCCACAUUGGGACUGAGACACGGCCCAAACUCCUACGGGAGGCAGCAGUGGGGAAUCUUGCGCAAUGGGCGAAAGCCUGACGCAGCCAUGCCGCGUGAAUGAUGAAGGUCUUAGGAUUGUAAAAUUCUUUCACCGGGGACGAUAACGACGGUACCCGGAGAAGAAGCCCCGGCUAACUUCGUG
This 455-nucleotide ribosomal RNA is filed under the name uncultured bacterium. RNAcentral's name for it is "bacterial SSU rRNA". It matches the Rfam family "Bacterial small subunit ribosomal RNA", at positions 9 to 507 of the family's 1533-position model. The record is from RNAcentral.